Molecule: transfer RNA, 76 nt
Filed under: Methylopila capsulata
Lineage: Bacteria; Pseudomonadati; Pseudomonadota; Alphaproteobacteria; Hyphomicrobiales; Methylopilaceae
Description: tRNA-OTHER
Source: RNAcentral
GGCCCGGUGGGGGAAUGGCUACUCUAGGAAGCGGGAACGCUUCUACAUCCUGGUUCAAAUCCAGGCUGGGCCUCCA